AUGGACGGCAAAGAUUUAUCUGAAGAGAGCUAUGGGGGGAGCUGUGGAGCUGCAGGUGGGGUUGAUGACAUCAGAAACAGGAAGUUAACCAGACGCAGGUGGUGGAGGCGAUUCUCACCUGCUGCUGUUUGUAACAGGAAGCAAAAGAAGGACGGAGAGGAACGUUCAGAGAAGCAGACAAAUGACAGUGGUGUUCCCCCAGAGGUGGCGCUGCAGGAGGCAGGUACUUCUGCACUGGACACCAAAGAAGAAGAAAGCGCUGAUGGAGCUAAAGGGAAGAGGAGGUUCAAUGUGAGAACGUGGUCAAUGUUCAAAAGGUUCCAGACCUCGUCCUACGUUCGAACAAGUCACGAGGAGAAGACAGACGACAAACCUUCGAGGAGCCUCCGCAAGAAAGUGAGAAUGUUUUUCAGCAGAAGAAGAAGAAACAGAUUAUCUGGUGUCCGUCUGGAGAACAUGGAGAACACUACGCUGUGUGAGGAGGCUCCGUGUUCACCUGUAGCUCAGGUAGAAGAACCGUCAGAACUCCAUGACGAUGUGGCUGAUGACAGCGUGGAGGUGGUGACGGUGGCAGCCGAGGUGAGCGUCCAGCUGACUGAACAAACAGCAGCAGAUCCACAGGUCUGUGACAUCAGCGAUGAUGUAAACAGAUCUGAACCGAUCCAAAAUGACAGUGAGGCUGUUGGAGACACAAACGUUGUUCCUGUUGAAGACUUAAUGGAGGCUGCAGAGAAAGACAAGGUUUCUUGUGACACCGCCACCGUCGUCCUGGACACUGACGAUUACCCUUCAUCAUCUACGACAUCAUCUCAGCAAGCCUCCGAGCGUCCCUGUGAAGAGAAGACGACCUCGCACUGCCUUCAGCCAACGAGUAAUGGGCCAUCCAUCCGGAUCGAGCUGGUUCCACGAUAUGACAUCAGUCAGGAUGAUAAUGAGGAGGAGUGUUGGGAGGACUUCUCCUCAGACAACCACAACCAUCUCCUCCUCCUCCUUGGCUUCGAGCACAGCGAGCGGCAGCUGCACCGGAUGGCUCGCUCUCUGGUCCGAGCCGCCAUGACCGCCGCCGUGGACCAGCUGACCCGAGAGCAGCAGAGUGACUCAGGCUGCGUUCACAGAGAGCCGCCGGGCUGCCGAGAUCAUGCAUGA
This 1146-nucleotide long non-coding RNA is filed under the name Sparus aurata (gilthead seabream). RNAcentral describes it as "lncRNA (ENSSAUG00010003256.1)". Lineage: Eukaryota; Metazoa; Chordata; Actinopteri; Spariformes; Sparidae. The record is from RNAcentral.